GGCAUCCAUUAGUUGUAAGAAAAAUACGUAUUCUCUCUCCUUUUUUUUAAUUAUACUUUAUGUUCUAGGGAUGCAGUUGGAAAUGCGUUCUCUUUUUAUGAUCCCAAGAAAAGAGAAGUGUAUGAGAAAAGAGAGUUGAUUUGGAGUUAUACAAAAUAUAGAAAUCAUUGGAUAAAUAGGAAACUUCAUUUUAAUUUGAGAUGUUAAAAUAUUUGGAAGAUUUUCAAAAUUAUUUAUAUGAAGUGGAAAAGGGAAAAUCUUGGACUUGAAAAAAGAAGGCCCUUCCAACUGUGGACUAUCC
This 301-nucleotide long non-coding RNA is filed under the name Rhinopithecus bieti (black snub-nosed monkey). Its description in RNAcentral is "lncRNA (ENSRBIG00000046246.1)". Lineage: Eukaryota; Metazoa; Chordata; Mammalia; Primates; Cercopithecidae. The record is from RNAcentral.